Molecule: ribosomal RNA, 499 nt
Filed under: uncultured bacterium
Lineage: Bacteria
Description: bacterial SSU rRNA
Rfam family: Bacterial small subunit ribosomal RNA
Source: RNAcentral
GGCUCAGGAUGAACGCUGGCGGCGUGCUUAACACAUGCAUGUCGAACGAAGCAACUUAUUACGAUCCCUUCGGGGUGACGAUUGUUGACUGAGUGGCGGACGGGUGAGUAACGCGUGGGUAACCUGCCUCGUACAGGGGGACAACAGUUGGAAACGGCUGCUAAUACCGCAUAAGCGCACGGUAUCGCAUGGUACAGUGUGAAAAACUCCGGUGGUACGAGAUGGACCCGCGUCUGAUUAGCUAGUUGGUGAGGUAACGGCCCACCAAGGCGACGAUCAGUAGCCGAUCUGAGAGGAUGAACGGCCACAUUGGGACUGAGACACGGCCCAGACUCCUACGGGAGGCAGCAGUGGGGAAUAUUGCACAAUGGGCGAAAGCCUGAUGCAGCCGACGCCGCGUGAGCGAUGAAGUAUUUCGGUAUGUAAAGCUCUAUCAGCAGGGAAGAAAAAUGACGGUACCUGACUAAGAAGCACCGGCUAAAUACGUGCCAGCCGCAGC